UCUCUGAUAGCUCAGUUGGUAAAGGAUCUGCCUGAAAUGUAGAAGACCAGGGUUCAAUUCCUGGAUGGGGAA
This 72-nucleotide transfer RNA is filed under the name Ovis aries (sheep). It matches the Rfam family "tRNA". From Rfam's summary of the family: Transfer RNA (tRNA) molecules are approximately 80 nucleotides in length. The record is from Rfam by way of RNAcentral. Lineage: Eukaryota; Metazoa; Chordata; Mammalia; Artiodactyla; Bovidae.